GACGGAGGGUGCUAGCGUUGUUCGGAAUUACUGGGCGUAAAGGGCGCGUAGGCGGCCUGGGAAGUCGGCUUGUGAAAGCCCGGGGCUCAACCCCGGAGGUGCGGCCGAUACUCCCUGGCUGGAGGCCGGAAGAGGAGGGUGGAAUACCCAGUGUAGAGGUGAAAUUCGUAGAUAUUGGGUGGAACACCGGUGGCGAAAGCGGCUCUCUGGUCCGGACCUGACGCUGAGGCGCGAAAGCGUGGGGAGCAAACAGG
RNAcentral lists this ribosomal RNA (254 nucleotides) under uncultured bacterium. RNAcentral describes it as "partial 16S ribosomal RNA". It matches the Rfam family "Bacterial small subunit ribosomal RNA", at positions 524 to 776 of the family's 1533-position model. The record is from RNAcentral.